AUUGAACGCUGGCGGCAUGCCUUACACAUGCAAGUCGAACGGCAGCAUGAUCUAGCUUGCUAGAUUGAUGGCGAGUGGCGAACGGGUGAGUAAUACAUCGGAACGUGCCCUGUAGUGGGGGAUAACUAGUCGAAAGAUUAGCUAAUACCGCAUACGACCUGAGGGUGAAAGUGGGGGACCGCAAGGCCUCAUGCUAUAGGAGCGGCCGAUGUCUGAUUAGCUAGUUGGCGAGGUAAAGGCUCACCAAGGCGACGAUCAGUAGCUGGUCUGAGAGGACGAUCAGCCACACUGGACUGAGACACGGCCCAGACUCCUACGGGAGGCAGCAGUGGGGAAUUUUGGACAAUGGGCGAAAGCCUGAUCCAGCAAUGCCGCGUGUGUGAAGAAGGCCUUCGGGUUGUAAAGCACUUUUGUCCGGAAAGAAAUGGCUCUGGUUAAUACCUGGGGUCGAUGACGGUACCGGAAGAAUAAGGACCGGCUAACUACGUG
This 489-nucleotide ribosomal RNA is filed under the name uncultured bacterium. RNAcentral's name for it is "partial 16S ribosomal RNA". It matches the Rfam family "Bacterial small subunit ribosomal RNA", at positions 30 to 507 of the family's 1533-position model. The record is from RNAcentral.